This 350-nucleotide ribosomal RNA is filed under the name Heteroctenus abudi. RNAcentral describes it as "partial large subunit ribosomal RNA". It matches the Rfam family "Bacterial large subunit ribosomal RNA", at positions 1968 to 2561 of the family's 2925-position model. Lineage: Eukaryota; Metazoa; Arthropoda; Arachnida; Scorpiones; Buthidae. The record is from RNAcentral.
UUAGUCUUAUAAUUUAAGACUGGAAUGAAAGAAUAAACGAGACAAGCCUUUUCUUAAUUAUUAUUUUUAAAAUUUACUUUUUAGUAAAAAGGCUAAAAUAUUUCCUUAAGACAAAAAGACCCUAUAAAGCUUUACACUAAAUAAUUUAAUAAAUUAACUGUGUGUUUAACUGGGGCGGUAGAGAGAAAAACACUCUUAUAUAAAAAAAAUAGGAAUAUUUUAAUACCCAAAAUUUUUGAAGAUUAAAUAAGUUACUUUAGGGAUAACAGCGUUAUACAUUUAGAAAGCUCAAAUAGACAAGUGUGUUUGCGACCUCGAUGUUGGAUUAGGUUUCCUUUAUUACGCAAGAG